RNAcentral lists this long non-coding RNA (607 nucleotides) under Homo sapiens (human). The record is from RNAcentral. Lineage: Eukaryota; Metazoa; Chordata; Mammalia; Primates; Hominidae.
UACUGUCUUUUCGAGGUAGGAGUCGACUCCUGUGAGGUAUGGUGCUGGGUGCAGAUGCAGUGUGGCUCUGGAUAGCACCUUAUGGACAGUUGUGUCCCCAAGGAAGGAUGAGAAUAGCUACUGAAGUCCUAAAGAGCAAGCCUAACUCAAGCCAUUGGCACACAGGCAUUAGACAGAAAGCUGGAAGUUGAAAUGGUGGAGUCCAACUUGCCUGGACCAGCUUAAUGGUUCUGCUCCUGGUAACGUUUUUAUCCAUGGAUGACUUGCUUGGGUAUGGAGAGUCGGCUUGACUACACUGUGUGGAGCAAGUUUUAAAGAAGCAAAGGACUCAGAAUUCAUGAUUGAAGAAAUGCAGGCAGACCUGUUAUCCUAAACUAGGGUUUUUAAUGACCACAACAAGCAAGCAUGCAGCUUACUGCUUGAAAGGGUCUUGCCUCACCCAAGCUAGAGUGCAGUGGCCUUUGAAGCUUACUACAGCCUCAAACUUCUGGGCUCAAGUGAUCCUCAGCCUCCCAGUGGUCUUUGUAGACUGCCUGAUGGAGUCUCAUGGCACAAGAAGAUUAAAACAGUGUCUCCAAUUUUAAUAAAUUUUUGCAAUCCAUCUGGA